Long non-coding RNA from Raphanus sativus (radish), 611 nucleotides. RefSeq lists it as uncharacterized. The transcript is spliced from 2 exons. Lineage: Eukaryota; Viridiplantae; Streptophyta; Magnoliopsida; Brassicales; Brassicaceae. The record is from RefSeq and is a predicted model, not a curated record.
CAUAUAAAAGAGUUCACUUGGAGAUUCGAGCUGAAUGACAACACUGGAUAUUAUCCAACACUUUGGAAUACAAAACACGUGUGCCCACCACCUGUAACCAGCUAAACAAAGAAGGUCCUCUGUGCAUGGCACGUGCUCCUCGCCAAGAAACGACCUUAAGCUUUGUGUAUAUAAACUAUAUAUGUCACAUAUCCUAUCAAUCGAUCAUCACCGAACAAGUAGAGCUUCUGUUGGAUAAGAGUUGCAAAGAAGUAGAGAUCAGAGGAGUUGAAUAAAGGGGAAACGAGGACAUUGAAAAAUGGUGACGCCGGUCGGAAGGAACAUAGCAGCACCAUUGCUGCUCUUGAAUCUGGUUAUGUACCUUAUUGUACUUGGUUUCGCUAGUUGGUGUGUUAAUAAAUACAUCAACGGCCAGACCAACCACCCAAGUUUUGUAGGCAAUGGAGCAGCCCCCUUCUUCCUUACAUUCUCGAUCUUAGCAGCCGUUAUAGGGAUAGCGUCGAAGUUCGCCGGAGCUAACCGUAUUAGAUUCUUUUUUCUCUUUUUGGUAAUCCUGUUACCGCUCUUGCCAUGGGGUAAUGCAUCAUAUACGUAUAUAUUUACCAAAAGCA